CCUACGGGUGGCAGCAGUGGGGGAUAUUGCACAAUGGGGGCAACCCUGAUCCAGCGACGCCGCGUGCGUGAAGACGCGCCUCGGCGCGUAAAGCUCUGUCAGCAGGGAAGAAAAUGACGGUACCUGACGAAGAAGCCCCGUCUAACUACGUGCCAGCAGCCGCGGUAAUACGUAGGGGGCAAGCGUUAUCCGGAUUUACUGGGUGUAAAGGGGGCGUAGACGGCGGGGCAAGCCAGGAGUGAACUGCCGGGGCCCAACCCCGGGACUGCGCUGGCAACUGGGUUGCUGGAGUGCAGGAGGGGCAUGUGGAAUUCCUGGUGUAGCGGUGAAAUGCGUAGAUAUCAGGAGGAACACCGGUGGCGAAGGCGGCAUACGGGACUGCAACUGACGUUGAGGCUCGAAAGCGUGGGGAGCAAACAGGAUUAGAUACCCCAGUAGUC
RNAcentral lists this ribosomal RNA (440 nucleotides) under uncultured bacterium. RNAcentral's name for it is "partial 16S ribosomal RNA". It matches the Rfam family "Bacterial small subunit ribosomal RNA", at positions 338 to 795 of the family's 1533-position model. The record is from RNAcentral.